RNAcentral lists this ribosomal RNA (406 nucleotides) under uncultured bacterium. Its description in RNAcentral is "partial 16S ribosomal RNA". It matches the Rfam family "Bacterial small subunit ribosomal RNA", at positions 30 to 526 of the family's 1533-position model. The record is from RNAcentral.
AUUGAACGCUGGCGGCAGGCUUAACACAUGCAAGUCGAGCGAGCGGCGGACGGGUGAGUAAUGUCUGGGAAACUGCCUGAUGGAGGGGGAUAACUACUGGAAACGGUAGCUAAUACCGCAUACCAUCAGAUGUGCCCAGAUGGGAUUAGCUAGUAGGUGGGGUACUGGCUCACCUAGGCGACGAUCCCUAGCUGGCCUGAGAGGAUGACCAGCCACACUGGAACUGAGACACGGUCCAGACUCCUACGGGAGGCAGCAGUGGGGAAUAUUGCGCAAUGGGCGCAAGCCUGAUGCAGCCACGCCGCGUGUGUGAAGAAGGCCUUCGGAUUGUAAAGCACUUUCAUCGAGGAGGCGUUACUCACAGAAGAAGCACCGGCUAACUCCGUGCCAGCAGCCGCGGUAAUAC